UCUGGGAAGAGGAAGUCACCAGAGCUUCAUUCCGGUCUUUAAGGAGCGUUGUGGAGGACUGUGUCCUCUGUCCUCUUUAUCUACGAAGGACGGGCUCACCAGACUUUUCCGGAAUGCCCAUAUCAGCCUGUUCACUAUGUCAGGUUGGUCUUGCUGAAGCCAGUGGCUACCUUCUGACAAAAUGGAGUAGCGUCGGCGUCGUCACCAUGUGAUGUUUGAGAGGCAGGCAGCUGUGAAAUCAAAAUGCGUUGGCUUGAGAAUCAUCGGGAAAGUUUGAGUAACAUUCUUCCAUAACAUUCAUGGAGAUUGUGCAUUCCUCAAAUACCUCUCGCUAACGGGGUGAAAAUUGGUUCUUGGGAGGGUAGAAGAGCCUUACAUUUUAUUCAUAAAACAUAGAUAUGUAGAGAUUACAAACAUAUUAAAUUUUCAUGGGGCAAGGUGAUUGAGGGGGAAGUGUCUUUAAAAGCUCCCUUGGGAAGUGAUAAUGAAAAAUGGUUAUAGUCAUGCUAAUUAUGCUGAGUGUGUGGGUGAAUGUUAUCUCAGUACUCAAGAGGCAGAGGCAGGACAUCCAUCACUUCAAGUUCGAGGCUAACCUGGGUUACAUAAUGAAUUCCAGGACAACAUUGACCAAAGUUGAGACUCUAUCUCAAAACAAAUUAACAAUGCCAUAAACAAGGAAAGCGAAAAGGGGGAUCUAAUAAAAGCUUGUCAGUAAAGUGAGGGGGCAGCCUGCACUUAUCAUCUGCGGAGGCCAGGGCAGGAAGUGCUCUGGGGUCUGCUGACCUGCCAGCCUAGUCUCAUCCUCAAGCCCCAGCUACCCAGUAAGAACCAGCUCAAAACACAAGGUGUGUGGUUCUGAGCGGGACACCCAGGCUGUCCUCAACACUAAAGGACACACACACCUACACAUACACUCACACACAGAACCAAUCAUCUUUAGAUUUUAUAGAAUGGAAUUUUGUGCAAGGCCAACCAGGGCUACAUAGUGAGACUCUGUCUAAAGAAGAAAACAAAUGAAAAAAAAAAAAAGACAACAUAAUCCAAACAAACAAAACCAUGACUUCUGCCUUCCAUAGGCUUCCUGUCUCCUGGAGAUAAUGGUACUUCCUCCUGGCCAUGAAGGUCUUCCAGGUGGGCAGUUAUAGUAAAAACUAAGAAAGGGCAGAAAGAUAAGAAUGCUUUUCCUCUUAUGGGGAGUUCUUGAUCCUUUGUUGCUGUGGGAUGUUCUGUAUGGCAAAUGUGUUGCUCUGAUUGGUUAGUAAAUAAAACACUGAUUGGCCAGUAGUCAGGCAGGAGGAAGUAUAGGCGGGACAAGGAGAGAGGAGAAUUCUGGGAAGUAGAAGGCUGAGAGAGACACUGCCAGCAGCCACCAUGACUAGCAGCAUGUGAAGAUGCCAGUAAGCCACU
Molecule: long non-coding RNA, 1407 nt
Organism: Peromyscus eremicus (cactus mouse)
Lineage: Eukaryota; Metazoa; Chordata; Mammalia; Rodentia; Cricetidae
Exons: 3
Source: RefSeq, a predicted model, not a curated record